Eriocheir sinensis (Chinese mitten crab) is the source of this 1140-nucleotide long non-coding RNA. RefSeq lists it as uncharacterized. The transcript is spliced from 6 exons. The record is from RefSeq and is a predicted model, not a curated record. NCBI's taxonomy places the organism in Eukaryota, Metazoa, Arthropoda, Malacostraca, Decapoda, Varunidae.
GGUUGAUGGUGAAGGAAGUGGAGGUUUGAUGCAAGUAGGUCAAGGAAAAAGUGGUUGACAGUGAAGGAAGUGGAGGUUUGAUGCAAGUAGGUCAAGGAAAAAGUGGUUGACGGUGAAGUAAAUGAAGUUUUGAUGCAAGUAGGUCAAGGAAAAAGUGGUUGACGGUGAAGUAAGUGGAGUUUUGAUGCAAGUAGGUCAAGGAAAAAGUGAUUGAUGGUGAAGUAAGUGGAGUUUUGAUGCAAGUAGGUCAAGGAAAAAGUGAUUGAUGGUGAAGUAAGUGGAGUUUUGAUGCAAGUAGGUCAAGGAAAAAGUGGUUGAUGGUGAAGGAAGUGGAGGUUUGAUGCAAGUAGGUCAAGGAAAAAGUGAGUGACAGUGAAGGAAGUGGAGCUUUGAUGCAAGUAGGUCAAGGAAAAAGUGGUUGACAGUGAAGGAAGUGGAGUUUUGAUGCAAGUAGGUCAAGGAAAAAGUGGUUGACAGUGAAGGAAGUGGAGUUUUGAUGCAAGUAGGUCAAGGAAAAAGUGGCUGACAGUGAAGGAAGUGGAGUUUUGAUGCAAGUAGGUCAAGGAAAAAGUGGUUGACAGUGAAGUAAGUGGAGUUUUGAUGCAAGUAGGUCAAGGAAAAAGUGGUUGACAGUGAAGUAAAUGGAUAAUCAACAAGAGCAAAAGCAAAUAAAGCUGUCAUUGGAUUCUGAGUUUCCAAAUAAUGAGAUCUCUUAGUAAAGGAGAGCUUGGGGUACACACAGCCAACACACACACACACACACACAUUAACACACAGAAACAAUGUAUUCCCUUCCCGUGACAACCAGAGGAACAUGUUAAUGGCAAAGUAGGAAGAAUGCCACCACUUCCAGCCUUUGUAUACAGUGAUGAAGGUGUGACAGUGAGGACAGAGCAUUAGUAAGGCCAGUACUAAGCCAGGCUGCUGUAGUUUCUUUACCCCAAAAUAAAGGAAAUAAAAAAAAGUUAAAAGAUAUGGAUGAUGCUACAACAUGGGGUCAUUAUCAUUUAUUAGUAUCAUUAUUAUCAUCAUUGUUAAUAUAUGUUUAACCCGGUAGCAGCGACGGGCCAAAUUUGUGGCUUUACCGUGUAGCAGCGACGGGACGAAUUUGUGGCUUUACCGUGUACCAGCGACGGGCCA